This 86-nucleotide transfer RNA is filed under the name Desulfuromonas sp. SDB. RNAcentral's name for it is "tRNA-Ser". It matches the Rfam family "tRNA". From Rfam's summary of the family: Transfer RNA (tRNA) molecules are approximately 80 nucleotides in length. Their secondary structure includes four short double-helical elements and three loops (D, anti-codon, and T loops). Lineage: Bacteria; Pseudomonadati; Thermodesulfobacteriota; Desulfuromonadia; Desulfuromonadales; Desulfuromonadaceae. The record is from RNAcentral. RNAcentral also lists the same sequence under 2 other names.
GGAGAGCUAGUCUAAUUGGUAAGGCACCGGACUUGAAAUCCGGCGGGGGUUCGCGCCCCUUGGGGGUUCGAGUCCCCCGCUCUCCG